UACGUAGGGGGCAAGCGUUGUCCGGAAUCAUUGGGCGUAAAGCGCGUGUAGGCGGCUCGGUAAGUCUGCUGUGAAAGUCCAGGGCUCAACCCUGGGAUGCCGGUGGAUACUGUCGAGCUCGAGUCCGGAAGAGGCGAGUGGAAUUCCCGGUGUAGCGGUGAAAUGCGCAGAUAUCGGGAAGAACACCCGUGGCGAAGGCGGCUCUCUGGGACGGUACUGACGCUGAGACGCGAAAGCGUGGGGAGCGAACAGG
RNAcentral lists this ribosomal RNA (253 nucleotides) under uncultured bacterium. Its description in RNAcentral is "partial 16S ribosomal RNA". It matches the Rfam family "Bacterial small subunit ribosomal RNA", at positions 524 to 776 of the family's 1533-position model. The record is from RNAcentral.